Long non-coding RNA from Suricata suricatta (meerkat), 387 nucleotides. RefSeq lists it as uncharacterized. The transcript has 2 exons. Lineage: Eukaryota; Metazoa; Chordata; Mammalia; Carnivora; Herpestidae. The record is from RefSeq and is a predicted model, not a curated record.
CCCUCCCUUUCCCGUCUAUCCUCCUGCCUCCUCCCUUCCCUCCCCGCCCUCGCCCUCGCCCCUCCCCCACCGCGCCCGGACCGCGGGAGGCUGAGUCAUCGCUGCAGCGCUGCGGUGGCUGCAGGCGAGCAGGUAGUUUUUGAUUGACCAUUCGGUGCGAGGCACCAUGUCGGGUGCUAAGCGCUGGGCAGAGCGGGGAACCGGAGAGAGCCCCAGCCCAUGCGGAGAUCGCUGUGCUGGCAAAUACACCGUCUGACCUGCUAGGUCUCCAGCCUGCAGCCUGUGAGCAGCUACAAGCGUACAGCUUUGACAUCGGCUUGAAAGAACAACUUCGCUCCUGUUCUGUAGGAGAACCAAAUAUAUUUAACUGCUUCCGUUUAUCUCACA